This 241-nucleotide long non-coding RNA is filed under the name Elaeis guineensis (African oil palm). Its description in RNAcentral is "long non-coding RNA (EGUI_LNC040320)". Lineage: Eukaryota; Viridiplantae; Streptophyta; Magnoliopsida; Arecales; Arecaceae. The record is from RNAcentral.
UGCAUGAGAGACAGUAUGUGCCUGCGGUAUCUUUUGCUUAUGGCAUCUUGUGCUCUUCUCGAUGGUGUUCUGAGGGUUUGAUUAGUUAGCCCUUAUGAGAGACAUCGUGUGCCUACGACAUCUUAUGUUCUUCUCGUCUUCACGUAAGAGGCAGUAUGUGCCUGCGGCAUCUUGUGCCUACGGCAUCUUAUGCUCUUCUCGAUUGCGUUCUGAGGGUCUGGUUAGUUAGUCCUUUGGAGGU